This 1573-nucleotide long non-coding RNA is filed under the name Theobroma cacao (cacao). Its description in RNAcentral is "long non-coding RNA (TCAC_LNC001812)". The record is from RNAcentral. Lineage: Eukaryota; Viridiplantae; Streptophyta; Magnoliopsida; Malvales; Malvaceae.
ACGAUUAAAAUAUUCCAUCUCAAUAUGUAAUUGAUAACAUAAAUAUUCAUUUCAUUUAAAUAAUCAACAUGACUUAUGAAUAUCUUAAAAGCUUGGCUCCUGUCAAAAUCAUUCUCGGGAAUACCUUGGCCGAGGCAUUUAACCGAGUCCGCCAAGGCUGUUAAAUAAUUUUGUAUACACAUAAACAUAUUUUUAGUUUGAAAAACACAGUCGUUCCUUGGCGUUAGCGGAGUUCAUCAUCACGAGGUGGUUCGGCGUGACGUGAACUCUAACCAUACCUCAGGAGAUACCCUACGUGCCUCUCCGACUAAGGUACAUAUAUAACUGGAUUCUGUGCCCCUCUAAUAAGCUGGUCCAUAAAACUCGCCCACUGCAGCAAGCUAAACCCACCAUACAAUAAAAUUUUGACAGCAUGACAUGACUAAUAUUAUACUACCCAGCCUAUAAAUGUAAAACAGAAUAAUUCAUACAGUUCACAAACCGCAAUUCCAGCCAGUCAUGCCAACACAUUAUCAUAAGCCAUCAAUUAGAACCAUAAAUUACAAUACAUCAAGUGGUCUCCAGUUACUCUAUUUUCAAAGCCAUCAUUCAAUUUCAAGACAAUUUAUAAAAUCAUUUCAUUUAAACACAUUUUGUUUAUAAAACCUAAAAGUUAACCAUUUAAACUCAUUUUCCAUAAAAUUCACAAAAAAAUUGAAUAAAAAGACCACUUUAGAUAAUUAAAAUGAUAAUAAGGUUACUCAUAAUACUAGGAGUUCGAUAUACUCCUAUUCGCGGUCUUCGGACACAAUCUCUUUACCCUUGUUAGAGGGUUCACCACCUAUACAUCAUACAUGACAUGAAUUUCAAUAAAUUGUGUCAAUUUAUCAUAAACUAUUUCAGGCUCUAUAAAUCUAUAUGAAAGCAUGAAAUGUGAUGCAAAUGUCUGAAUAGCCAUUUAAAUACGGUAUUCGACCUAAUUCGCACUAUUCUCGGUGUAAUUGGCUAAAACCUCCAAUUUAACUCUAAAUCGAUUUCUUUCACUUUCUACACUCCAAUUAUACUUAAAAUAACUCAAUGACUAUGAAUAUGAUUCAAUUUAUCAAUCCGGACCAUAAAUCGCACAUGUCUAUACAUUAGGUAAAAAUUCAUAUUUUUAUACCAAAAUUUCCCAUUAAAUUUUUAGCCUCACCAAUCAUUAAAUACCACCAAAAUGCCAUGAAAUAUCAUCAAUUUCAGCCUCAAUAUCCUCCCUAGAAAAUUCAGCCUCUUGUGGGUUUGUGAAGAACAAAGUGAUUCCUUGCUAGAUUUUCAUACUUUCCAUUACCAAACAACCAAAAACACUUAAUUAGCUUGAAAUCUAGCAAAAUCAAUGCUCGAAACCCCUCCUCUCAAAUUCGGCCAGCAUGGGUUCAUCAUGAAAACUUGAGUUCUAAGCAUGGAAAAUGAAAAAGAAAGCAUGGGUAGUGUAAAUCACAAAAUAAAAUCACAAAAUUUUACCUUUAUUAGCUUAAGCCCUUGAAAUCCCACACUUUUUCUUCAAUUUUCCCACCUAGGGUUUGUGUUCUUUCCUUUCCUCUUCACUUCAUACUUU